This 377-nucleotide unclassified non-coding RNA is filed under the name uncultured Simkaniaceae bacterium. RNAcentral describes it as "contains 16S-23S intergenic spacer region". The record is from RNAcentral. Lineage: Bacteria; Pseudomonadati; Chlamydiota; Chlamydiia; Parachlamydiales; Simkaniaceae.
UCCUAGUUAACCUAGGCAGUCUCAUUAGAGUCCCCACCUUGCGUGUUGGCAACUAAUGAUAAGGGUUGCGCUCGUUGCGGGACUUAACCCAACACCUCACGGCACGAGCUGACGACAGCCAUGCAGCACCUAUACAUGUGUCCUUGCGGAAAAUAACAUUUCUGUUAUCGCCACAUGCAUUUCGAGCCUGGGUAAGGUUCUUCGCGUUGCAUCGAAUUAAACCACAUGCUCCACUGCUUGUGCGGGCCCCCGUCAAUUCUUUUGAGUUUCACUCUUGCGAGCGUACUCCCCAGGCGGCAUACUUAUCGCGUUAGCUUCGACACAGGCAGGGUUGAGCCCACCUACACCAAGUAUGCAUCGUUUACGGCAAGGACUAC